GCUCGGGUGGCCCAGCACGGACAAGGCAGCGACCUCCUAAGUCGCAGAUCGUGGGUUCAAAUCCCACCCCGAGCG
Molecule: transfer RNA, 75 nt
Filed under: Thermoplasmata archaeon
Lineage: Archaea; Methanobacteriati; Thermoplasmatota; Thermoplasmata
Also listed under: 2 other names
Description: tRNA-Arg
Rfam family: tRNA
About the family: Transfer RNA (tRNA) molecules are approximately 80 nucleotides in length. Their secondary structure includes four short double-helical elements and three loops (D, anti-codon, and T loops).
Source: RNAcentral